Acanthochromis polyacanthus (spiny chromis) is the source of this 326-nucleotide long non-coding RNA. RefSeq lists it as uncharacterized. Lineage: Eukaryota; Metazoa; Chordata; Actinopteri; Pomacentridae. The record is from RefSeq and is a predicted model, not a curated record. The transcript has 3 exons.
UUGAAAUAAAGCUGAUCUGACUGGGAGGGUUGAUUGUGUGUCUGAUAUGAGAAGGAUAAAGAGCUGACCUCUGAUCUGUGCAGGUUCAGACUGGUUUGUGCUUUGAGCUGUUUGGUUCCUGCAGAGCUGAAGAAGGACGACGGUGGAGCUCAGGAGAGGAGCAGAAAGCUGUUGGACUGCAACAAGUUGAGUGGCUGCAGGUUUUCACCAACAUGGAAAGGAUCCAUCAGAACCCAGGACCAGAACCAGAACCAGGACCUGGACCUGGACCUGCACCCAGCUGUGUGUCCUUUCAGAGCAAUGACUCAAAGGAUCUUUUAAUUCAC